CAAAGUUACAACUUCUUCAAGAUAGAUUAUAAGGUGAAUACAUGAACCCUGAAUCUAUUUGGCAAAAGGCAUUUUCUAUAACUGCAUUUUGCGAACUCCAACAGUAUCACCAAACCUCCUAAAUUAAGUCCUAUAGAAGUCAAACCACCUGCAACAUAUCUCACCCUUUAAGCCAGAAUUGACAAAUCUUUCACCUCUUCUCUCACCAAUUGAGUCCCAAAAAAUUUCCGAAUUGGUCCAUGAUCCAUUUGGAAGGAGAACACUUAUUUCGGGAGGCAAGUGUACGAAAUAUUCUUGCUGGACGUGAUAUGGGAGAAUUUGCGUAUUUGAACUUCACAACGUACGUAAUGCAAAUAAAUUAAUACUAACAACGCAAUAGUAAAGAAAAACACAACAAACCAGAGAUUCAUUCUCAUUGAUGAGAUCAGCAGUGAUAUCAAGCAUCCAAACCAACUGCUCACAAUGCAUCUUUAACUUCAUCAUCAGAUAUCAAGCAUCCAAACCAACAGUGCACUUGGUUGUUCAAGUGAGUAAUCAUGUGAGGAGAAUCAAAGGAUGUACUUUAAAGUUCUUAAGCAGCAGUGAGGCUCAUUGUGUUGUGUCCUCAUCUGCUACUUCUUUUUCACUAAAUCUUAAGUCAAGAAGGCAAAGAAGACACAUUCUCAGCUAAGAUUUUCUCAAUCAAGCCUAUGAAGAAGACAAACCUCUAUAACAAAAAAACAAAGGACCUCAAGUAAAAUAAUUUUUGACCCAGAAGAUUUCUACUGCCAUUGUUAUAGCAUUAAGAAAGAAAAAUUGGUCAUCCAACAUAUAGGAAACAAAAAAAAGAUGUUUAUAUUCUUAUUAAAAAUGUAAGUAAGAAUGUAAAAGAAAGAGAAAUGAGAGCAAAUGAGGAUUAUGAUAUGAAAAUAUGAGAGAGCAAUGUAAGCUAGUGACUGAUACAUUUGCUUUUUUUGGAGGGAGGGGGGGGGGGUUGUUAGGGUUGACAGAAACAUCAUAAUCACCUAAUAAGAAGUACUCACAAAAUAGGUUCAUUUGAUUCCCAUCUAAAAAAAACAAACAGAUAUGGAGCAAUCAUAUAAUUGCUCUUCACAUUAAACAACAUGCAUAGUUGCAAGAAGUUUAAGUUCCACAUAUAAACACACAAAGUACUACAAUUCAAGAAAAGCCCAAAAAAGAUAAUCAAAAGAGACUGAUCAAAGUUACAACUUCUUCAAGAUAGAUUAUAGGGUGAAUACAUGAACCCUGAAUCUAUUUGGCAAAAGACAUUUUCUAUAACUGCAUUUUGCGAACUCCAACAGUAUCACCAAACCUCCUAAAUUAAGUCCUAUAGAAGUCAAACCACCUGCAACAUAUCUCACCCUUUAAGCCAGAAUUGACAAACCUUUCACCUCUUCUCUAACCAAUUGAGUACCAAAAAAUUUCCGAAUUGGUCCAUGAUCCAUUUGGAAGGAGAACACUGUGAUAUGGGAGAAUUUGCGUAUUUGAACUUCACAACGUACGUAAUGCAAAUAAAUUAAUACUAACAACG
RNAcentral lists this long non-coding RNA (1531 nucleotides) under Lotus japonicus. RNAcentral's name for it is "long non-coding RNA (LJAP_LNC001701)". The record is from RNAcentral. Lineage: Eukaryota; Viridiplantae; Streptophyta; Magnoliopsida; Fabales; Fabaceae.